AAGCGGUUAUUUUAAUAAAAUACUUAAUUUCGGCUUAAGAGUUUAAGGUUAAACCCCUUAACCGCUCA
Molecule: transfer RNA, 68 nt
Filed under: Kraemeria cunicularia (transparent sand dart)
Lineage: Eukaryota; Metazoa; Chordata; Actinopteri; Gobiiformes; Kraemeriidae
Description: tRNA-Arg
Rfam family: tRNA
About the family: Transfer RNA (tRNA) molecules are approximately 80 nucleotides in length.
Source: RNAcentral